CCUACGGGAGGCAGCAGUGGGGAAUUUUGGACAAUGGGCGAAAGCCUGAUCCAGCAAUGCCGCGUGAGUGAAGAAGGCCUUCGGGUUGUAAAGCUCUUUUGUCAGGGAAGAAACGGUGGGAGCUAAUAUCUCCUGCUAAUGACGGUACCUGAAGAAUAAGCACCGGCUAACUACGUGCCAGCAGCCGCGGUAAUACGUAGGGUGCAAGCGUUAAUCGGAAUUACUGGGCGUAAAGCGUGCGCAGGCGGUUUUGUAAGUCUGAUGUGAAAUCCCCGGGCUCAACCUGGGAAUUGCAUUGGAGACUGCAAGGCUAGAAUCUGGCAGAGGGGGGUAGAAUUCCACGUGUAGCAGUGAAAUGCGUAGAUAUGUGGAGGAACACCGAUGGCGAAGGCAGCCCCCUGGGUCAAGAUUGACGCUCAUGCACGAAAGCGUGGGGAGCAAACAGGAUUAGAUACCCUGGUAGUCCACGCCCUAAACGAUGUCUACUAGUUGUCGGGUCUUAAUUGACUUGGUAACGCAGCUAACGCGUGAAGUAGACCGCCUGGGGAGUACGGUCGCAAGAUUAAAACUCAAAGGAAUUGACGG
This 585-nucleotide ribosomal RNA is filed under the name uncultured bacterium. RNAcentral describes it as "bacterial SSU rRNA". It matches the Rfam family "Bacterial small subunit ribosomal RNA", at positions 338 to 916 of the family's 1533-position model. The record is from RNAcentral.